RNAcentral lists this ribosomal RNA (604 nucleotides) under Arthrobacter sp. CMT264. RNAcentral's name for it is "bacterial SSU rRNA". It matches the Rfam family "Bacterial small subunit ribosomal RNA", at positions 271 to 885 of the family's 1533-position model. Lineage: Bacteria; Bacillati; Actinomycetota; Actinomycetes; Micrococcales; Micrococcaceae. The record is from RNAcentral.
AGGCGACGACGGGUAGCCGGCCUGAGAGGGUGACCGGCCACACUGGGACUGAGACACGGCCCAGACUCCUACGGGAGGCAGCAGUGGGGAAUAUUGSACAAUGGGCGCAAGCCUGAUGCAGCGACGCCGCGUGAGGGAUGACGGCCUUCGGGUUGUAAACCUCUUUCAGUAGGGAAGAAGCGAAAGUGACGGUACCUGCAGAAGAAGCGCCGGCUAACUACGUGCCAGCAGCCGCGGUAAUACGUAGGGCGCAAGCGUUAUCCGGAAUUAUUGGGCGUAAAGAGCUCGUAGGCGGUUUGUCGCGUCUGCCGUGAAAGUCCGGGGCUCAACUCCGGAUCUGCGGUGGGUACGGGCAGACUAGAGUGAUGUAGGGGAGACUGGAAUUCCUGGUGUAGCGGUGAAAUGCGCAGAUAUCAGGAGGAACACCGAUGGCGAAGGCAGGUCUCUGGGCAUUAACUGACGCUGAGGAGCGAAAGCAUGGGGAGCGAACAGGAUUAGAUACCCUGGUAGUCCAUGCCGUAAACGUUGGGCACUAGGUGUGGGGGACAUUCCACGUUUUCCGCGCCGUAGCUAACGCAUUAAGUGCCCCGCCUGGGGAGUACGG